GACGUAGGGUCCGAGCAUCAUCCGGAUUUAUUGGGCGUAAAGCGCAUGUAGGUGGUUACGUAAGUUUGUGGUUAAAGACCCCGGCUCAACCGGGGGAAUGCCUUGAAGACUGCGAAACUUGAGACCAGCAGGGGCAAUCAGAAUUCCCGGUGUAGGGGUGAAAUCCGUUGAUAUCGGGAGGAAUACCAGUGGCGAAGGCGGAUUGCUAGGUUGGAUCUGACACUGAGAUGCGAAAGCGUGGGGAGCAAAACGG
This 253-nucleotide ribosomal RNA is filed under the name uncultured bacterium. RNAcentral's name for it is "partial 16S ribosomal RNA". It matches the Rfam family "Bacterial small subunit ribosomal RNA", at positions 524 to 776 of the family's 1533-position model. The record is from RNAcentral.